AUUGAACGCUGGCGGCAUGCCUUACACAUGCAAGUCGAACGGCAGCACGGGUGCUUGCACCUGGUGGCGAGUGGCGAACGGGUGAGUAAUACAUCGGAACAUGUCCUGUAGUGGGGGAUAGCCCGGCGAAAGCCGGAUUAAUACCGCAUACGAUCCACGGAUGAAAGCGGGGGACCUUCGGGCCUCGCGCUAUAGGGUUGGCCGAUGGCUGAUUAGCUAGUUGGUGGGGUAAAGGCCUACCAAGGCGACGGUCAGUAGCUGGUCUGAGAGGACGACCAGCCACACUGGGACUGAGACACGGCCCAGACUCCUACGGGAGGCAGCAGUGGGGAAUUUUGGACAAUGGGCGAAAGCCUGAUCCAGCAAUGCCGCGUGUGUGAAGAAGGCCUUCGGGUUGUAAAGCACUUUUGUCCGGAAAGAAAUCCUUGGCUCUAAUACAGUCGGGGGAUGACGGUACCGGAAGAAUAAGCACCGGCUAACUACGUG
This 486-nucleotide ribosomal RNA is filed under the name uncultured bacterium. RNAcentral describes it as "partial 16S ribosomal RNA". It matches the Rfam family "Bacterial small subunit ribosomal RNA", at positions 30 to 507 of the family's 1533-position model. The record is from RNAcentral.